RNAcentral lists this ribosomal RNA (207 nucleotides) under uncultured bacterium. Its description in RNAcentral is "partial 16S ribosomal RNA". It matches the Rfam family "Bacterial small subunit ribosomal RNA", at positions 568 to 774 of the family's 1533-position model. The record is from RNAcentral.
AGCGUAGACGGUUUUGCAAGUCUGAAGUGAAAGCCCGGGGCUUAACCCCGGGACUGCUUUGGAAACUGUAGGACUAGAGUGCAGGAGAGGUAAGUGGAAUUCCUAGUGUAGCGGUGAAAUGCGUAGAUAUUAGGAGGAACACCAGUGGCGAAGGCGGCUUACUGGACUGUAACUGACACUGAGGCACGAAAGCGUGGGGAGCAAACA